Molecule: long non-coding RNA, 149 nt
Organism: Microtus oregoni (creeping vole)
Lineage: Eukaryota; Metazoa; Chordata; Mammalia; Rodentia; Cricetidae
Exons: 3
Source: RefSeq, a predicted model, not a curated record
CUGGGGAAAGCAGGAUGGAGCUCUGUACCAGCUCGCCAUUGAUCCUGAGGGCGAGCGUGCUGGGAUCCUGGGGCGAGGACCUCUCCUGGAGGAUAAUGAGAGCCUUCAAAACUGUACGCAGACCAGGAGCAGGUGACUGGGAGGUGACU